AUCUGGAACAACAGGGUCACAGCACAAUCAAACUGUCAAAAAUCAGAGCAAACACAGCUUGAGCCCAACACUUAAGGCCUGAGCUCCUUGCAAGAGCCAGUAUAAAUUAUCACAAAAGCUGCUGAAGUGGGAUGAGACAUUACCAAGUCAGGACUCAUUUCUCAGCCACUCACAGAGCCAUAAACAACAAGAGUUACUAAUAACCCAGACCCUCUAGAAAAGCAAUGGAGAACUAAACCAAUGUCAGAGCAGGCUGGGAAUUUCUGCUGGAACUGUUUUCAGACUGCUGGUUUUGAUGUGGAACUUAAGGAGGCACCAAAAUCAUCAUCAGUGAGCAACGGGCGGGCUCAGGAACGCUUCCUUUCUCACCUCCCUUCUUCCUUUACACUAAAUCAUAGUGCAAAUAUAAAUACAUAAAUUCCUCCUUCAAACUCCAUUGUUCUUCAAAACCUGCAGUAAUUUAACCUGAAUUCACUGCUCUGGUUCCAUUUCCUUUAUGAACCAUUUGCUGCUGUUGGUGAUGUUUCCAAUUGCCCUUGUCCUGCCCUGGAAGCCAGACACCAGUCUUAGUGAUCUUCCUGUUCCUGUGUCAGUCUGUCCACCCAUGGGUGCCCUGUGGUUGUCUGUCCAUGCUGUGACAGUGAGCAUCUCCCUGGCUUGCAUGAAGUACCACACAAGCACCACACCUCUCAUCUAGCCCUCAUUAUUAUACCCAAGAUCAUCUUAAGGUUGCCACUUCUCAGUCCUCUCUCCUCCCGGGUUUUUUUGCCCCUGUAUAGUUGGAAAUCCAAUUACAAAGAAGAACAUAAAGUCAAGCUUUGGUCUUGUCAAUACUUGGGGCUGCCCAGCGUGGUUCUAUCAGGUACUCCCCAAACACAUCCGGAUACCCACGAGCUGCACAACAACUGCCCAGUACCAGGAGGUUGCAGUUUAAGAUCAUCCAGCCACUUGCUAAUUCAGAAGAAUAUACAAGAGAAAACUGUAUUUACAAUUUCAUGUGCUUGGGAUCAACUCCAAAAGGAAUUUUAUCUCCUCUCUUUUUCUUUUGACUGUCAGCCUGCCAGAAUUACCAACAGUAUUUAACAUUGUUAAUGAAAAUCUUCAUCCUGCACACAGCUUACACUGAGAUCCCAAUGAAGGGAGAUGCAGAUUCAUAGAGUGGCUGCCCCAUCCAUGGAAGUAUUCAAGGCCAGAUGGGAAGGGGCCUUGAGCAACCUGUUUUAGUGGAAAAUGUCCCUUCCAAUGCAAACCCCUCUAUGAUUCCAUGGUCUUUGAAUGGCCACCAAGGAUUACUAAUUCCUCCUGUUUUAAUAUUAAAUGCCAGUUUCAUUUGAGCCUAGACAUUAUGCAAACAACAUUAACUUUCAGUUUUAAGCCAGUGGCAGAAACUCCUCCAUUUUCCUGGCAGGAUACGGGGCGGAUAUCCCUACUGAGCUGCUUCAGACUGUUUAGGGGAUGCCAUGCCCCGGGUGGUUUGGGGGACAAUGCUAUAAUUAUUCUGCCUGCAUAAGGCAGGAACUUCUUUUCCCCUUUAGAGCACUGUGAACACUUAUCAUUAGUGUCUUAUAAUGGAAAGGGUCACAUGAGGCUGGAGUCCGUUCUGUGCCCCACACAGCAUCACUUCAUCUGUCUCAGUUCUCACGGCUGCUUAUCCAACCUGACCUGAAAAAACCCCAAUCCCGGACACGGGGCUGUCCCUGGGGACUCGUUCCAUGGUUUCACUUACCCUUAUUAUUAUUAACUAGCUUUUCUAAAAUUACAUACAGAAUGUUCAAGUAUUAUGCUAGAACAACAUCCAAUCCAAGACACACAGAACAGUCAGCCACACCAGUUCCCACAAAAUAAAUGAGGGAGAAACCAAAAGGAAGAAACCCCACCAAGAAAUGCCUUCCUGACCUGGAUACAGUUGAUGAUGAACUUGUGUCCUCGGAAGAUCUUCUGCAGGACUCCACUCCUGGAAUUGAAAGCUCUUGCA
Molecule: non-coding RNA, 1975 nt
Organism: Taeniopygia guttata (zebra finch)
Lineage: Eukaryota; Metazoa; Chordata; Aves; Passeriformes; Estrildidae
Source: RefSeq, a predicted model, not a curated record